GACGAACGCUGGCGGCGUGCCUAAUACAUGCAAGUAGAACGCUGAAGGAGGAGCUUGCUUCUCUGGAUGAGUUGCGAACGGGUGAGUAACGCGUAGGUAACCCGCCUGGUAGCGGGGGAUAACUAUUGGAAACGAUAGCUAAUACCGCAUAAGAGUAGAUGUUGCAUGACAUUUGCUUAAAAGGUGCAAUUGCAUCACUACCAGAUGGACCUGCGUUGUAUUAGCUAGUUGGUGGGGUAACGGCUCACCAAGGCGACGAUACAUAGCCGACCUGAGAGGGUGAUCGGCCACACUGGGACUGAGACACGGCCCAGACUCCUACGGGGGGCAGCAGUAGGGAAUCUUCGGCAAUGGACGGAAGUCUGACCGAGCAACGCCGCGUGAGUGAAGGAGGUUUUCGGAUCGUAAAGCUCUGUUGUAAGAGAAGAACGAGUGUGAGAGUGGAAAGUUCACGCUGUGACGGUAUCUUACCAGAAAGAGACGGCUAACUACGUG
This 495-nucleotide ribosomal RNA is filed under the name uncultured bacterium. Its description in RNAcentral is "partial 16S ribosomal RNA". It matches the Rfam family "Bacterial small subunit ribosomal RNA", at positions 28 to 507 of the family's 1533-position model. The record is from RNAcentral.